RNAcentral lists this ribosomal RNA (460 nucleotides) under uncultured bacterium. Its description in RNAcentral is "partial 16S ribosomal RNA". It matches the Rfam family "Bacterial small subunit ribosomal RNA", at positions 338 to 795 of the family's 1533-position model. The record is from RNAcentral.
CCUACGGGAGACAGCAGUGAGGAAUAUUGGUCAAUGGACGAGAGUCUGAACCAGCCGAGUAGCGUGAAGGAUGACUGCCCUAUGGGUUGUAAACUUCUUUUAUCUGGGAAUAAAAUGUUCCACGUGUGGGCUUUUGUAUGUACCAUAUGAAUAAGGCUCGGCCAACUCCGUGCCAGCAGCCGCGGGAAUACGGAGGAUCCGAGCGUUUUCCGGAGUUAUUGGGUUUAAAGGGAGCGUAGGUGGAUUGUUAAGUUAGUUGUGAAAGUUUGCGGCUCAACCGUAGACUUGCAGUUGAAACUGGCAGUCUUGAGUACAGUAGAGGUAGGCGGAAUUCGUGGUGUAGCGGUGAAAUGCUUAGAUAUCACGAAGAACUCCGAUUGCGAAGGCAGCUCACUGGAGUGCAACUGACGCUGAGGCUCGAAAGUGUGGGUAUCAAACAGGAUUAGAUACCCCUGUAGUC